Non-coding RNA from Delphinapterus leucas (beluga whale), 411 nucleotides. NCBI's taxonomy places the organism in Eukaryota, Metazoa, Chordata, Mammalia, Artiodactyla, Monodontidae. The record is from RefSeq and is a predicted model, not a curated record.
GUCUGAUGAGUCUGCAUGGGAAGAAGCAAAGCCAGGAAGAAGGGAUCAAGCUGUGCAUUAGAAGAGCGGACAGGCUCACAAGGACCUUUCACAGAACACACACACAUCACAUACCUCCUUCUCACUGACUCUUACAACAACCCUGUACAGAAGCACUGCUCUGGAUCUGAACAAGGUCAGGUGGCCAAGACAACCAGGACCAGCGCUCAAGUUAAGUUGUACCACACCAAGAUCAAAGGAAGCUAUUAAUCUAGUACAUGAAAAUUUCAGAAACAAAUGGAUUCCAUUCUUCCUCCAACUCUGUUUCCUUCUGCCUUGACCUUUCCAGCCCAGCCUACUCCCUAGGUCUUUCAGGGGCAUACAUGAGACUCUGAAAUGUGAAGAGAGCCCUAUUUUUCAGUUAAAUAAAGC